Molecule: non-coding RNA, 384 nt
Organism: Chanos chanos (milkfish)
Lineage: Eukaryota; Metazoa; Chordata; Actinopteri; Gonorynchiformes; Chanidae
Source: the annotation of a RefSeq genome assembly
GCAAGCAUGACUUUCAUCACCAUCUUCAUCUGGACACUGACCUGCUGCUGUUUUAAAGAGUCCAGAGGUCAAGUGACUGUGACUCAGACUCCUGUAGUGAAAUCUGCUCUUCCAGGAAACACAGUCACUAUCAACUAUAAAACCAGCUCUGAAGUGUUCAGUGGUAAUCAGCUGGCCUGGUACCAACAGAAACCUGGAGAGGCUCCUAAACUCCUGAUUAAGUAUGCAAGCACCCGUCAGUCUGGAGUUCCAGCUCGUUUCAGUGGCAGUGGAUCUGGGACUGACUUCACUCUGACCAUCAGUAACAUCCAGACUGAAGAUGCAGGAGAUUAUUACUGUCAGAGUUUCCACUACAUCAGUAGCAAAGAUGUGUUCACACAGUGA